RNAcentral lists this ribosomal RNA (305 nucleotides) under uncultured bacterium. RNAcentral's name for it is "partial 16S ribosomal RNA". It matches the Rfam family "Bacterial small subunit ribosomal RNA", at positions 506 to 808 of the family's 1533-position model. The record is from RNAcentral.
ACAGCAGUAGCCGCGGUAAUACGUAUGUCACAAGCGUUAUCCGGAUUUAUUGGGCGUAAAGCGCGUCUAGGUGGUUAUGUAAGUCUGAUGUGAAAAUGCAGGGCUCAACUCUGUAUUGCGUUGGAAACUGUGUAACUAGAGUACUGGAGAGGUAAGCGGAACUACAAGUGUAGAGGUGAAAUUCGUAGAUAUUUGUAGGAAUGCCGAUGGGGAAGCCAGCUUACUGGACGGAUACUGACGCUGAGGCGCGGAAGCGUGGGUAGCAAACAGGAUUAGAGACCCCGGUAGUCCCUGUCUCUUAUACA